Molecule: long non-coding RNA, 855 nt
Organism: Gossypium arboreum
Lineage: Eukaryota; Viridiplantae; Streptophyta; Magnoliopsida; Malvales; Malvaceae
Exons: 2
Source: RefSeq, a predicted model, not a curated record
GUUAUAAUGUUUACUGCCAUUUUUUUAUUUUCUUUUUAAAUUUUCCAGCCAUUAAUAAUUUCUCUCUAAUUUACAGCUCCACCUCUCCCCACCAUAAUUUAAUUAAUUAAGCUUUAAAUAAAAACCAUCCUUUUUCUCCCUUUAUAUAUUUUGCCCUUUCUUCUUCAAAUUCCAAUGCACUCAUCCAAGCCUUCUCCAUCUUUCUUGAAGAACAAAGUGUUCAAGGUUCCUUCAAAGGUUAAGUUAAUUUAUAUUAAAGAUCAUGAGUGGAAGAAGAAAUGGUCCCAAGCUUGAGUUGAAGUUGAACCUAUCACCACCAAGGCGUAAUCCAAGAAUGGAACCAUCACCAAGCCGGUCGGCUACUGUGUCGCCGACAUCCCCGCUGAGCUCGUGCGUGUCAUCGGAGAUGAAUCAUGACGUUGACAUGAUGAUGAUGAGCAGCCCUGAAACCACAACAACAGCAACCUCAAUGGUUCUGGUCGGAUGUCCAAGGUGUUUGAUGUACGUGAUGCUUUCAGAAGAGGAACCUAAAUGUCCCAAAUGCAAGAGCACUGUUUUGCUUGAUUUUCUUCAUGAUACUGCUACCACCACCAAGGCAAGGAAGAGCUAAAACCAUAUAAUUAGCAUAUAAAUCUAAUCAUAAAUUUAAUGUUGGUAGCAUAGGUUUUUUAAGUUGACAAAUGAAAUUAAAAAAUUAAUGUCUCCUCGAAUAAGAGUUUUAUCUUUUGCACUCUGCCGAAGAUGAAUGUAGUGUUAAGUGGUAGCAUGAUGAAUCCAAUUCAUUAGAACUACUAGCACCUCGGUUGAUGGACCUCAGUGUAUUUCAAUAUUUUUAGUUUUUUUUUUUUUUUAUAA